RNAcentral lists this ribosomal RNA (452 nucleotides) under uncultured bacterium. RNAcentral describes it as "bacterial SSU rRNA". It matches the Rfam family "Bacterial small subunit ribosomal RNA", at positions 10 to 507 of the family's 1533-position model. The record is from RNAcentral.
AGUUUGAUCAUGGCUACAGAACGAACGCUGGCGGCAUGCCUAACACAUGCAAGUCGAACGAAGGCUUCGGCCUUAGUGGCGCACGGGUGCGUAACGCGUGGGAAUCUGCCCAAAGGUACGGAAUAACUCCUCGAAAGGGGUGCUAAUACCGUAUGAUGUCGCAAGACCAAAGAUUUAUCGCCUUUGGAUGAGCCCGCGUAGGAUUAGGUAGUUGGUGAGGUAAAGGCUCACCAAGCCGACGAUCCUUAGCUGGUCUGAGAGGAUGAUCAGCCACACUGGGACUGAGACACGGCCCAGACUCCUACGGGAGGCAGCAGUGGGGAAUAUUGGACAAUGGGCGAAAGCCUGAUCCAGCAAUGCCGCGUGAGUGAUGAAGGCCUUAGGGUUGUAAAGCUCUUUUACCCGGGAAGAUAAUGACUGUACCGGGAGAAUAAGCCCCGGCUAACUCCGUG